This 1274-nucleotide ribosomal RNA is filed under the name Levilactobacillus brevis. Its description in RNAcentral is "bacterial LSU rRNA". It matches the Rfam family "Bacterial large subunit ribosomal RNA", at positions 1644 to 2925 of the family's 2925-position model. The record is from RNAcentral. Lineage: Bacteria; Bacillati; Bacillota; Bacilli; Lactobacillales; Lactobacillaceae.
GUACCGCAAACCGACACAGGUAGUCGAGGAGAGUAUCCUAAGGUGAGCGAGUGAACUCUCGUUAAGGAACUCGGCAAAAUGACCCCGUAACUUCGGGAGAAGGGGUGCUGCACGCAAGUGCAGCCGCAGUGAAAAGGCCCAGGCGACUGUUUAUCAAAAACACAGGUUUCUGCAAAAUCGAAAGAUGACGUAUAGGGGCUGACGCCUGCCCGGUGCUGGAAGGUUAAGUGGAUGAGUUAGCUUCGGCGAAGCCCAGAAAUGAAGCCCCAGUAAACGGCGGCCGUAACUAUAACGGUCCUAAGGUAGCGAAAUUCCUUGUCGGGUAAGUUCCGACCCGCACGAAAGGCGUAACGAUCUGGGCACUGUCUCAACGAGAGACUCGGUGAAAUUAUAUUACCUGUGAAGAUGCAGGUUACCCGCGACAGGACGGAAAGACCCCAUGGAGCUUUACUGUAGCUUGAUAUUGGGUGUUGACACAGCUUGUACAGGAUAGGUCGGAGCCGUAGAACUCGGAACGCUAGUUUCGAGUGAGGCGCUGGUGGGAUACGACCCUCGCUGUGUGAACACUCUAACCCGCACCACUUAUCGUGGUGGGAGACAGUGUCAGGUAGGCAGUUUGACUGGGGCGGUCGCCUCCUAAAAAGUAACGGAGGCGCCCAAAGGUUCUCUCAGAAUGGUUGGAAAUCAUUCGUCGAGUGUAAAGGCAGAAGAGAGCUUGACUGCGAGACAGACAGGUCGAGCAGGGACGAAAGUCGGGCUUAGUGAUCCGGUGGUACCGUAUGGAAGGGCCAUCGCUCAACGGAUAAAAGCUACCCUGGGGAUAACAGGCUUAUCUCCCCCAAGAGUCCACAUCGACGGGGAGGUUUGGCACCUCGAUGUCGGCUCAUCGCAUCCUGGGGCUGUAGUCGGUCCCAAGGGUUGGGCUGUUCGCCCAUUAAAGCGGUACGCGAGCUGGGUUCAGAACGUCGUGAGACAGUUCGGUCCCUAUCCGUCGCGGGCGUAGGAAAUUUGAGAGGAGCUGUCCUUAGUACGAGAGGACCGGGAUGGACAUACCGCUGGUGUACCAGUUGUGCCGCCAGGCGCAUCGCUGGGUAGCUAUGUAUGGAUGAGAUAAACGCUGAAAGCAUCUAAGUGUGAAACUCGCCUCAAGAUGAGAUUUCCCAUUCCUAUAUGGAAGUAAGACCCCUGAGAGAUGAUCAGGUAGAUAGGCUGGAAGUAGCAGCGCCGCGAGGCGUGGAGCGGACCAGUACUAAUCGGUCGAGGACUUAACCAAG